Molecule: ribosomal RNA, 251 nt
Filed under: uncultured bacterium
Lineage: Bacteria
Description: partial 16S ribosomal RNA
Rfam family: Bacterial small subunit ribosomal RNA
Source: RNAcentral
ACGUAGGGGGCAAGCGUUAUCCGGAUUUACUGGGUGUAAAGGGAGCGUAGACGGCGCGGCAAGCCAGAUGUGAAAGCCCGGGGCUCAACCCCGGGACUGCAUUUGGAACUGCUGAGCUAGAGUGUCGGAGAGGCAAGUGGAAUUCCUAGUGUAGCGGUGAAAUGCGUAGAUAUUAGGAGGAACACCAGUGGCGAAGGCGGCUUGCUGGACGAUGACUGACGUUGAGGCUCGAAAGCGUGGGGAGCAAACAG